Molecule: long non-coding RNA, 1224 nt
Organism: Cyprinus carpio carpio
Lineage: Eukaryota; Metazoa; Chordata; Actinopteri; Cypriniformes; Cyprinidae
Source: Ensembl
AUGCGCUCACUCGCGGGAGGCGGCGGGACGGAACACAGAGAUGCUCAUGUCUCAUCUAAGGAGUCUGGGUUUCAGAAUCAACUAUGCCAAAAGCCAGCUGAUUCUGUCUCAGGAGUAUCUAGGCUUACGGAUAGACUCUGUGGCAUACCGCACUAUGCUCUAGAAAAGGAGGAUAAUGGUUUUUUAUCAGUGCCUGGCCCAGUUUUGCAAGGGGAAUUUGGUAUUGUUCAGGACCUGUCGUCGCCUUUUGGGCAUGAUGGCUUUGUCGCUGUCCGUGGUCCUGCUAGGUUUGCUGAAAAUGAGAGACUUCCAGCGAUGGGUAGCAGCGAGAUGUCUCUGUCCUCGUCGGCACCUCACGCGCAGAGUAAGAAUACACGCAGACUGCAUGAUGGCUCUAUAUCAGUGGAGAGAUCCCUGUUCAUUCCAGUCAAGGAUUCCCUUGGGGGGCAUGUCUCUGAGAAAAGUGGUGACAACGGAUGCAUCUCUGUCUGGCUGGGGGGCUGUUUUUCAGGGCAGAUCGUUAAAUGGUCGCUGGAUGCCCCAGCUUUGCAAACCAUAAAUAUGUUGGAGUUGAGUGGCAGUCUUUCUGGCCCUGAAACAUUUUCUCUGAUUCUUGGAAGGGUUUCAUGUUCUGGUCAGGACAGACAACACAACAGUGGUGGCAUAUAUCAAUCGCCAAGGGGGAACACGUUCGUUACAAUUGCACAAUCUAACGCGCAAAGUGAUUGUCUGGGGCGCGGUGCACUUCAGCUCACUGCGCGUGACGCAUGUACCAGGAGUCCUGAAUGUAGGGGCGGAUCUCCUGUCAAGGGGCAACCCUUUAUAAGGAGAACGGGUGCUCCACCCGCAGGUGGUGGAUCAGAUUUGGGGGAUUUAUGGCAGGGCUGUAGAUCUCUUUGCCUCGCAGGCAAAUGCAAAGUGACCGCUGUAUUUCUAUCUCAGGGACGAAAAUGCGCCUUUGGGUGUGGAUGCGCUGGCGCACCCGUGGCUGAAUGUGUUGCUUUACACAUUCCCUCCGCUGAGUCUUAUUUCUCCCACCCUAGAAAGAGUAAGAGAAAACGGAUUAUCUCUCCUUCUGAUAGCCCCUCGUUGGCUGGGGAGGCUGUGGGUUGCAGAGAUUGUCCAGCUCCUUCAGUGAGAGCCCUGGCCGCUCCCGUUGCGCCAGGACAUGCUGUCGCAAGCGGGGAGGCAGAUUUUUCAUCCACACCCGGAACGAACCAGUGA